AAGAAAUUCACUAAUAGCUAAAAUAUGACACAUAUCCUUAUGACUCAUUUCUUUCCGUAAAUGUGUCUCUGGAAAUGCUUGAUUAAAGAAAGAGCUUUAAGAGAAGACAAGCAGAACCCUGACAUGGCUCAGAUUUUUCAGGGGUGCCGGGCUGUCUGGGAACUCUAUGAUUCCAACCCAGGGCUUAAUCAAAUAAGUGAUAAUCUGCCAGAAAAUCUGCAAGUUUACAACUUUUCUUGACCCUGUUGGAAAGCUGAGGUAGCAACCAACCAACUUGUCUAAGGAAAGACAGGAACAUCCAAAAAUGAUGGGCCGUGAGCACUUGCAUGGCUAGGGCAGGUGCUUCUCGGUGCUAUAUAAGCUGGUUCUUCACUGGGCUGCACCACCUGCCCACAAACACUGGGGGGAAGCGUGAAAAUGGUGUGUCAUGGCCAAAGAACACUGGAUUCAGGGAGUCACCUCUGUUAUGCAAGCCUGCUCUUGGUCUGAGGGAAGAUGUCACCUCACCCCUCAGGCUCUCCCUGCAAACGCAACCCUGAGGAGUGGCCGGGGUAAGUGGGUGAGGGCCUUGCACUGCCGGCACAUCCAGUAAGAGCUCACAGGGACCCACAUGGCGGAUCGCCUCUCCCAACCGGGUCAAGAGCCAGUCUCAGGAGCCAGGCCAGAGAGUUCCUCCACCGAGUAGGGAAGAUCCCAUUUCUGCCCAAGGGCUUGCUGUUGAGGACAGGAGGCUGUGAAACGGUAGAAGUGAAAGGUUGGAACCUGCCCCUUCUGGUCCUAAGGGAUUAUAGGAGGUGGUAAGAGGAAGCAGGAAGGGAGGAGUGAGAUGGGCUUGUUCAAUGUGGAGGUAGGGACUGGCUUAGAUGUGACCAGUGCCAAGUUCAGAAUGACAAGGGCAUCAUUAAGGCUCUGGGAGGGUUAUCCCCUGAGAUGCUACCCCGACACAGACCUGGGGCCAUAAGAGCCAAGCAGACUCAGUGGUGCAUCAGAAGUUCGCUUUUCAGAACUGCUCUUUGUGCCAUUGUGGUGUGGCUCAGCCCCAGAAAAUCUUGCAGUGACCCAGAGAGUUGUAGUGGCCCUAAUUUAUGUGCCUCCCAGAUUCCUUUGGCUAUGUGCUCCUGGGCCCAGUUAUGGGGCUGCUGCCAGCCACACUGGAUCCUUUCCAUCCUCUGCCACUCUUUACUCAUUGUAGACACCUUGGGCCAAUAACUGUGACCAGUUGGCCAGCUCAGCCUGCAGCAGGAUUGCCUGAGCGUGUAACUAUAGCCCAGGCUGUGCUAAUGACUUGCUGUUUUAACUGUCUGAAAUGUAAGCCCUAUGGGAACUAUUGCAGCUGAAACCAGAACCCCUUGAUUUUCAAGUUCAGAUACAUUGUGAUUUGACAGGACUUUGGCUUCUCUUCGUGCUGCAUGGAGGGACGGGGAACACAAGCAGGAAGUGCAGAAGAGUUUCACUGAGGUGAAGUUUGAACAGGGAGAGAUGGGAACCAGGAAGAAGCCAGCAGAUACAUUCCCUACUCUUCCUCUUCUUCUCUCUACCCUACCUCCCGCCUUCUGCUUCUUCCAAGGCUCAGGGAUUCUGAGUAGCCUCUCCAGAGAUGUCCACACGCCUGAGCAGCCAGCGGUGUUUCCCUGUGCAUCCUCUUGUUUUGCAUUUCCUUGUCCUCUACUGUGGGUACCUUUUCCUCUUUGACUUCCCUGCAAUUGCUCCCCCUCCCAUCGCUCUACCAAUAAUACACUGGCUUUUACAUUUUAACACAGACACUUUUCCUAGGGACCCCAGGCUCAAGGCAGCACAUGUGGAGGUUAGUUAAGAGCUUGUCUGGGGACCUUGUCAAAGAGGAGCAUAGAGAUGGGGCAGGGCAGCCUUCAGUUUGGGGCUUUAGAGGUGGGCAGGAAGGGGUGUCAGUUAGACCCCAUUGUUUGUGAGUGCCUGGGUGGGGGCAGGUUACCAGACCCUGAAAAAAACCAAGACAAGUGACAGCCUGAGAAUGACAACGUGAGCAGCCACUGGAUGGUCCAGGAACACUUCCUGCAAUGCCGAUUUUAAUAACCCCUUCUCCCCAAAGCCUCAGAGACAGAGUGUGGCCUUCAUAUGCCCAGACACCAACACGAGCGACGGAAUGGAGAUGAGACAAAAAUCAGAGAAAGAGAAGAACCAAAAUGGCGUAGAUGAUAGAGGCUCUGUUCAUCCCUCUGGCAACAAAAUCAAAGUAGUGAUGGAAACAAGGAGCAGCAGCAAGGAAAAAUCACUUGGGAUCUUGAUGAACAAACCAUACAACUAAGGAGAAAUCCAAGAAAGCACCCUGCAAUAGCAGACAGUAGGAGGGGGCAAGGAUGCGGGGCUGUCUGGUCUCAAGUGGCUGAGAGGAGGCUGCAGCAGCAGCAGACACCUCUUAAAGGGGCCGCGUCCACAAGCAGAUGUUCGCAGUGACACACCUGCUUGCUCUGAGCACCAGUGCCGACUGGGCUACACAUAGGGGGCACCAGGGACUUACAGGGAGACAUUGUUGGACUGAGGGCCGAGGCGAGACUCACUCUAUACAGAAGUGCUGGCAGCAUCCAUUAUUCCCUGUUAAGCCCUCCCCUCUCCCAGUGCCCGGACACAGAGCCGCAAUGUCAUCAGACUGGAUAACAGAGGUCGCUCUGCCCAGAGGAUUCCCUGAAACCCCUCCUCGCCCAACUCGCGGCCCAACCCAAGCCACAUCCAGGUGUAUCCUCAAAGAGUCAGGUGCUCCUUGCUGAGCAGUGCCUAGACUCACACUGGAGGCAGCUGGCCUCGGUUUCUGGUUGGU
Long non-coding RNA from Pteropus alecto (black flying fox), 2794 nucleotides. RefSeq lists it as uncharacterized. The transcript has 3 exons. NCBI's taxonomy places the organism in Eukaryota, Metazoa, Chordata, Mammalia, Chiroptera, Pteropodidae. The record is from RefSeq and is a predicted model, not a curated record.